UUUUAAAUGUUAGCAAACUUGAUGAACAAAUUGUGUAAAAUUGUCUUUAAAGGGCAAUAACUCCUUAAGGGGUCAAUUGACAAUUUUGGUCAUAUUAACUUUUUUGUAGAUCUUACUUUGCUGAACAUUAUUGCUGCUUACAGUUUAUGUAUAUCUAUAAUAAUAUUCAAAAUAAUAACAAAAAACUGCAAAAUUUUGUUAAAACUACCAAUUCGGUGGCAGCAACCCAACAAUGGGUUGUUCGAUUCAUCUGAUAAUUUCAGAGCUGAUAGAUCUUGACCAAUUGAAUAAUUUUACCCCAUGUCACAUUUGCUCUAAAAGAUUUAGUUUUUGAGAUAUAAGCCAAUAAAAUGCUCCGCAGGGCGCAGCUUGAUACGACCGCAGAGGUCGAACCCUGAACAGUUGGGGCAAGUAUGGACACAACAUUCAAGCUUGAUACAGCUCUGAAUUUGGAUUGUAAUUAAAUAUUUGACACAGCAUAGGUUUCUGACACAGAAAGAAUGUGGUCUAAGAACUUCAAUUUUUUUAAUUUACCUAUUAUGGUCCAAUGUCCAAAAUCAAAAUACAUGGUUAGAUUCAGCAUAUCAAAGAACCCCAUAUAUUCAAUUUUUGUUGAAAUCAAACAAAGUUUAAUUUUGGACCCCAACUUGGACAAACUUGAAAACUGGUCCCAUAAUCAAAAAUCUAAACACAUGUUUAGAUUCAGCAUAUCAAAGUACCCGAAGAAUUCAAUUUUUGUUAAAAUCAAACUAAGUUUAAUUUUGGACCCUUUGGACCUUAAUGUAGACAAAUUUAAAAAACGGGACCCAAAAUUAAAAAUCUAAAAACACGGUUAGAUUUGGCAUAUCAAAGAACCCCAAUUAUUCAAUUUUUGAUGAAAUCAAACAAAGUUUAAUUUUGGACCCUUUUUACCUCAAUAUGAACCAAUUUGAUAGCGGGCCCACAAAUAAAAAAUCUAAAUACAUGGUAAGAUUCAGCAUAUCAAAGAACCCCAUAUAUUCAAUUUUUGUUGAAAUCAAACAAAGUUUAAUUUUGGACCCCAACUUGGACCAACUUGAAAACUGGUCCCAUAAUUAAAAAUCUAAA
Long non-coding RNA from Mytilus californianus (California mussel), 1086 nucleotides. RefSeq lists it as uncharacterized. NCBI's taxonomy places the organism in Eukaryota, Metazoa, Mollusca, Bivalvia, Mytilida, Mytilidae. The record is from RefSeq and is a predicted model, not a curated record. The transcript has 2 exons.